GACGGUAAGGUAUUGGCUUACCGUGGCAGUGACGGUUAACGGGGAAUUAGGGUUCAAUUCCGGAGAGGGAGCCUGAGAAACGGCUACCACAUCUAAGGAAGGCAGCAGGCGCGCAAAUUACCCAAUUCUAACAGCAUAAGAGAGGUAGUGACAAGAAAUAACAGUACAAGGCAGUUAAAAUGCUUUGUAAUUGGAAUGAUAGAAAUUUAAAUACUUUUUAAAGUAUCAAUUGGAGGGCAAGUCUGGUGCCAGCAGCCGCGGUAAUUCCAGCUCCAAUAGCGUAUAUUAAAAUUGUUGCAGUUAAAAAGCUCGUAGUURAAUUUUUGCUAAAAAUAACCGGUCUGCUUUUAUUAAUAAAAGUGGUAUCUUGGUGUGUUUUUAGCAAUAAUGUCCUUUGAAAUGUUUUUUACUUUAUUGUAAAAAGCAAUUUUCAGGAUUUUUACUUUGAGAAAAUUAGAGUGUUUCAAGCAGGCUAACGUUUUGAAUACUGCAGCAUGGAAUAAUAAAAUAGGAUUUUAGUUCUACGUUAUUGGUUUUAAGAACUAAAUUAAUGAUURAUAGGAGCAGUUGGGGGCAUUUGUAUUUAACUGUCAGA
RNAcentral lists this ribosomal RNA (595 nucleotides) under Hepatozoon sp. RNAcentral's name for it is "bacterial SSU rRNA". It matches the Rfam family "Eukaryotic small subunit ribosomal RNA", at positions 326 to 920 of the family's 1831-position model. The record is from RNAcentral. Lineage: Eukaryota; Apicomplexa; Hepatozoidae.